AUGAUUUGAUUUUCCAAACUUCGUUUCAAGAUGACUGGGCAAGAGGCUAUGAUCUUGACAACGUCAGGGUUAGAAGCGCCUUUGGAGUAGAAAAAAUGGAGUUUGGGCAAAAGGGAUUUGUCUGGGUCGGAUACGAGGAGUUGAGGUUGUGAUCUGACAAUUUUUGAGGUUUGGGAUUCGGAGAAGCCAUGGCUGUUGAAGAAGGCAAAGACCGAAUUGGGUUUUUCUGGGGUUUUAAAGUGCAAGUAUUUGGAAGCCGAUAGAGCCGCUUUAUGGGAGAAGCCACAUGAGUUUAUGAGGUGAGACACAAUGAAU
This 315-nucleotide long non-coding RNA is filed under the name Vitis vinifera (wine grape). RNAcentral's name for it is "long non-coding RNA (VVIN_LNC001302)". The record is from RNAcentral. Lineage: Eukaryota; Viridiplantae; Streptophyta; Magnoliopsida; Vitales; Vitaceae.